Molecule: ribosomal RNA, 839 nt
Filed under: uncultured eukaryote
Lineage: Eukaryota
Description: SSU rRNA
Rfam family: Eukaryotic small subunit ribosomal RNA
Source: RNAcentral
CGGUGUUCAACUGGCGUGCCCGCGGGACGUCCUGCCGGUGAGCUCAGCCCGCGAGGGCGGCUCAACUUGAAAUCCCAUCGCGGUGCUCUUCAUUGAGUGUCGAGGUGGGCCGGCACGAUUACUUUUGAACAAAUUAGAGUGCUUAAAGCAGGCUAAAAUUUUGCCUGAAUACUGUGUAUAUGGAAUAAUGGAAUAGGACCUCGGUUCUAUUUUGUUGGUUUUCGGAACCCCGAGGUAAUGAUUAAUAGGAACGGAUGGGGGCAUUCGUAUUGCGACGUUAGAGGUGAAAUUCUUGGAUCGUCGCAAGACGGACUAAAGCGAAAGCAUUUGCCAAAAACGCUUUCAUUGAUCAAGAACGAAAGUUAGAGGUUCGAAGGCGAUCAGAUACCGCCCUAGUUCUAACCAUAAACUAUGCCAGCUAGCGAUCCGCCGACGUCCCUCCGAUGACUCGGCGGGCAGCUUCCGGGAAACCAAAGCUUUUGGGUUCCGGGGGAAGUAUGGUUGCAAAGCUGAAACUUAAAGGAAUUGACGGAAGGGCACCACCAGGAGUGGAGCCUGCGGCUUAAUUUGACUCAACACGGGAAACCUCACCAGGCCCAGACACUGGAAGGAUUGACAGAUUGAGAGCUCUUUCUUGAUUCAGUGGGUGGUGGUGCAUGGCCGUUCUUAGUCGGUGGAGCGAUUUGUCAGGUUAAUUCCGAUAACGGACGAGACUCUGACCUGAUAACUAGACGCACUUGCGGCAUCUCAAAGGUCCGCCGGCGGCUGGCUUUGCGCCCGUCGUCGCGCGCGAUUUUUACUGCCGGCGUACAAUAAAUUCUUCUUAGAGGGACAAGUGG